GAAGAGGGAGCACGGGGACCACGCAGACGACGCCCUGCAUGCCAAUGGAGGCCUGUGUCGCCGAGAGUCACAGGGCUCUGUGUCCUCUGCGGGGAGCCUGGACCUGUCGGAGGCCUGCAGGACUUUGGCACCCGAGAAGGACAAGGCCACCAAGCACUGCUGCAUUCAUCUCCCGGAUGGGACAUCCUGCGUGGUGGCUGUCAAGGCGGGCUUCUCCAUCAAAGACAUCCUGUCCGGACUCUGUGAGCGGCAUGGCAUCAACGGGGCGGCCGCGGACCUCUUCCUGGUGGGCGGGGACAAGCCUCUGGUGCUGCACCAAGACAGUAGCAUCUUGGAGUCAAGGGACCUGCGCCUAGAAAAGCGCACCUUGUUUCGGCUGGAUCUUGUUCCGAUUAACCGGUCAGUGGGACUCAAGGCCAAGCCCACCAAGCCCGUCACGGAGGUGCUGCGGCCCGUGGUGGCCAAAUACGGCCUGGACCUCAGUGGCCUGCUGGUGAGGCUGAGUGGAGAGAAGGAGCCCCUGGACCUUGGCGCCCCUAUAUCGAGUCUGGACGGACAGCGGGUUGUCUUGGAGGAGAAGGAUCCUUCCAGAGGAAAGGUCCUGCCCUGGGGAAGCUGGGUCCGGCCAGCAGCCUUCGGAGAUGGGCUCGUCGCCCGGCCCCCACCUCAUCCUGACGCGCAGGAGCUGGCCCUCCUUAGAGCCCUUGUUGAGAACCGUGCGUGAGGAAGGUUACUCAGACCCAGGAGGCAUCCGCAGAUAAACAGAAAGGUGUGCCAGUGAAACAGAACACAGCUG
This 796-nucleotide small RNA is filed under the name Pan troglodytes (chimpanzee). Its description in RNAcentral is "processed transcript". Lineage: Eukaryota; Metazoa; Chordata; Mammalia; Primates; Hominidae. The record is from RNAcentral.